GAUUGCGCCAACCCCCACAUGGUACUUGAUAAUAAAACUUUUUAACCGCCUGGCUUUGGGAAGAACGUAUUGGGCGGGUGUAAGGUGGGGAUCCGGCAACGCUUUCAAACGAACAGACAGUUUAUUAACGUUGGCGCUACCGGCAGUCCUUUAGAAAGGGCAGUGUGGUGUAUGGGAAUGACACGUUAUUUUUCGGCCAUACAAAGAGGUUCUGGUGCGGAGUGACGCGGGCAGCCCCGGCAGUAACUGCAGGCGGCAGCUGGGACGCCGCCGGUUUAAAACGUGCGCGUGAGGCAACCAGAGCGCAUGCGCGAGGGUGUGGGGUGACGGGAGGGGUAGCCAUGAUCUUCCGGGGGGGAGGGGCGGCCAGGCGAGGCCUGUGAGGCGGGCGCGCGCGCGGGCGGGCACGUGGGGGCCCUUUCGUCCCGGGUGUCCCAGCGCCCCGCGCCAACCCCCAACCUGGUUUCGGCCCAGGCGGUGGUCAGCGUGGGGAAAAGCCGAACCCCACGCGGUUCCACUGCUCGUUUUUUUUUUUUUUUUUUUUUUUUUUUUAGGGGGGGAGGUCAGGAAGGAGAAGGAAGUGCUAGAAAACGUAGCCAGAAAGAUAAUGGCGUCCAUUUACAUAAUGCUUUGUUUGCAUUUUGAAAGUUUCUCUGUGAAACCCCCGCAGAAACCCCACCUCCCACCCUCCUGUCUCUUGUCCCAGCAGCCUCGUCAGGCACUUGAAACAAUGGUGUGCUGCGCCGGGCAGUGCUUUCGGGAGUGUUUCUGCGGGUUCUCCAUGUGGUUUCCACCCCUCUCUGUUGCCUCCUAUUUCUCCCUCCGCUCGGUGCGGCCGCCACUCCUCGCUUUCUAGGGGGCGGUCUCCGACGGUGCCCCGCCAUCUUGAAUGCCUUUUUCUGUCCCGUGUCCCUACCACGCGUCCCUGGCGCCAAGAAACGGUCACUCAGGACGCCAGUGUGAAAAGUGUAAUUUCUGUCCCUUCGUCUUUCCGCCAACCAAAGAUAGAAACGGUCUCGAGUACAACGUGCUCAGAUGAAUUCGCUUAGGCCCAGAGAGGUGAGAUGACUAACUCAAGGUCACAGUGUCCAGGAUGGAAUCCAGACCUCAUUGCCUUCUUGGUUUUGUUUAUUUGUUAAUGAAAAAGAUAGGAGGAGAAAGAGAACCAGACAUUUCUCUGAUAUAUGUGCUGCUGGGAAUUGAACUCAGGACCUCCUGCUUGAGAGUCCAGUGCUUUAUCCACUGUUCCACCUCCUGGACCACUGUGGUAGCCGUUCCAAAAUGCUUUCACGUAAAUUUCUAAUUCUACAACUUUAAAAGGCCCAUGGGGUUAGAGAUGAGGGCUCCAUAGACUCCUUGGAUGAAGCCAUUGAGAUGGAGCAACUGACUGACUAGUCACCACCUCACCCUUGGAGCCUUACACUAUGACUCUUCUCCUCCCACUCAACUGAUCACAGAUAAAGUAUGACUGAGAGCACAACUCUGGAACCAGCUUACAGGAACCUAAAUUAAGCUGAUUCAUCUACUUACUGUAUGACCUUGGGGUGAGAGAGAGAAGGCGAGAUACCAGCACACUACCUCACCAUCUGUGCAGUUCUAUUUGGUGCUGUCCAUUGGUUCUUCCAUGUUGUGCCAGGAUCAAAACCAGGGCCUGAUACAUGAUGCCUUUUUGUUAAAUACCAACCAACACACCACUGGGCAGGCUGCCCUAGGCUGAGGAGUGGCCAGAGAUUUGACCCUCUGGAAGGUUUCCCAGAAGAGAAAGGGAAUUGUUAGAAACUCCCAUCAACGGAGAGAGGUGGGGCAGACUAUGGGCUAACAGACAGGGAAGUCUUGUUGGUGUCAUGCAUUCCAGCACACUGCCUACAUAGCAGACACAUCACAGUGAAGAGGGAACCACCGGAGGAGAGCCAGUGCAGAGCAGAUGAAGUGGAUCUGUUCUUGUCCACCUUGGGGACAGAGAAGAGAAACCUACUGGAAACUCAGGUUCCUUCAUUAAGACUGACAGAUAAUCCAAAUUCAGAAAAUAAUGGCAUGCCAAGAAGAACCGAGGAGAGAGAGAUACCUGCAACACUGCUUGUGAAGCUUCUCCCUGCAGGUGGGGACUGGGGGCCUAACCCCAGGUCCUUAGGCAUGGUAUAGUGUGUGUGCUCCACUGGUGGACUCCCACCAGCCCCCAAACAAAUUUUGAAAUACAGACUUGUUCUUACGCUUCCUCAAUUCUUGUCUGCCACGAAUUAUAGAAAACUAAAUGUCCAAGUGAAGGAAAUCACUAAUGGGAUAUAUUCUGGGCUGUGUGAGGCUCUAUCGCCUACCAGAGCUUGGCAGUAACAGAAGGCACUAAAACUAGCUAGCGUUGGACAUUUCUGAAUGCUGCUGUUCUUAUGUCUGCCAACAGACUCAAGCUUCCUUGGUCUAUCCACACCUGUCUCUCAGGCUAGAAGGUUUGAAAGUUGCUGAAGACAUGCAACAACAACAACAACAAAAAAGCAAGACUAAACAAUAGUACCGUACUAUCUGUAGAUAGUUCUCCUGAAUAGAUCGUGGUCCUCUUAUAGUGUUUCCUGGCUUGGGUAUAAUCAGACCCGGAGUUGUAUAAAUCAGGUAUGUAAUGGUGCCUCUGUGUUUUGAGGCACUAUCAGAGACUACACUUUUACUGAACAAACUGAAAUUACUCUAUUUCUCAGGCUUUCACAGUUAAGUAUAUCAUACACACACACACACACACACACACACACACACACACACACAGGUGUGUAUAGAGUAGCAACCAGUAGAGGAGGUAGUUAAGCAACUGGGCUCAUAGAUAGAAAUACUGAA
Molecule: long non-coding RNA, 2820 nt
Organism: Erinaceus europaeus (western European hedgehog)
Lineage: Eukaryota; Metazoa; Chordata; Mammalia; Eulipotyphla; Erinaceidae
Exons: 12
Source: RefSeq, a predicted model, not a curated record